UACGUAGGGUGCGAGCGUUGUCCGGAAUUACUGGGCGUAAAGAGCUCGUAGGUGGUUUGUCGCGUUGUCCGUGAAAACUCACAGCUUAACUGUGGGCGUGCGGGCGAUACGGGCAGACUGGAGUACUGCAGGGGAGACUGGAAUUCCUGGUGUAGCGGUGGAAUGCGCAGAUAUCAGGAGGAACACCGGUGGCGAAGGCGGGACUCUGGGCCGAUACUGACGCUGAGGAGCGAAAGCGUGGGGAGCGAACAGG
This 253-nucleotide ribosomal RNA is filed under the name uncultured bacterium. RNAcentral's name for it is "partial 16S ribosomal RNA". It matches the Rfam family "Bacterial small subunit ribosomal RNA", at positions 524 to 776 of the family's 1533-position model. The record is from RNAcentral.